GGGGCAAAUCCUCGAACGCGAACCUGAUCGCAUGUCACAGAAGCAACUUGCCAUGAAAUCCGCUAAUGCGCCGCGACUCGCCCACCAGGGAAGAGAAGAAAUGGAGCCCUUGCAGUUAAAUUAUUACUGGCUUCUACAGGGUUAAUUUGAUGCAAAUAAUCUACUCUCCUGUCAACAUUGAAGGAAAAGGUAGUGGCCUGUGGAACAACAGGAAGAGCCAGUCAGGUAGUGACAAAACUCUGCCUCUGGGUUCUGAAGAAGGUAUCGGAAGGCUCUGAACUUAGCUUUGGGUUUGUUGCACCGCAUUCCCUCUCUUAAAACAGUAACUCAAGAUGGCCGGGCACUUCCUCAGCAAAGCAUUGGAGGCCUUCAAGCCGGGCAUGGCGCACUGCUGUCCUGCCUACAUACAGAUACCGGCCCACACGUGUUAGGCCUGAAAAAGACACCGGACCGGGAGGAAAACUCAGGAACAGCUAUUCAGGAGCGCCUGGAGACUCUCCUGCCUGGACCCUUGGACCUUGGGAGCGGGCCGGCCCAGAGAACCUCAGAGAAGACAGUUCCCCUCCCCCUCUACUCCCCACCUUCCCCCUCCCCCCUCACAACAGCUGUGCUUUUGGGGCGCUCGGCUCCUGCCAGUCCACAGGUCCUACGUCCCUGCCCAGCAUUGGCGCGUUAGAGAUCAGUCUGUGUACUCCCAGCUUUUCCUCCUAACCCCACUCCCGAGCCCUGGGUCACCGCAUUUAUGCCACAAGACCCCGAAAAGCUCUCAUGCACAAAAACUAAAGGACUCUAACAUGAUCCCUCGAGUAUCGGGCUAGUUCAGGAAGGAGCAAGCCGAGCAGGGGUCUGGGGAAAAUACAACUGGACGCUUGGAGACUCCAUAAUCCUACGCCUGAACGGCUCUCAGGCCAAAGGGCAGGUGCACUUGCCCUGAGCCCCGGGUCCGAAACGCGGGGGCUGGUUCUUGUGCCAGCCAGAGGCGGAGGGAAGCAGAGGAGGUGGCCAAGAAGCGGAAGGCCGACAGGGUGGGAAGGGCAAGAAAAGAAGGUAAAGUAUCAGAAGUCCUCAGCCUUGGAAAUCAACACCUGCCCCUGGUUAAUUCGGCGUACUGUCCCCCAAAAGUGGAAGCAUCGAAAGAACAGCAUUUCUGGCAGUCUAAAGCCUGGAAAAUUCACCGCCCCGGAGGCGUGGGUAGGUUCCCUUUGUAAUAUUCUUCAACGAGGUAAAGUGACCAAGAAAGAAAACCCGUGA
This 1251-nucleotide long non-coding RNA is filed under the name Ictidomys tridecemlineatus (thirteen-lined ground squirrel). RNAcentral's name for it is "lncRNA (ENSSTOG00000031289.1)". The record is from RNAcentral. Lineage: Eukaryota; Metazoa; Chordata; Mammalia; Rodentia; Sciuridae.